CACGGGGGGGGGUGCUAAUACAUGCAGUAGAACGCUGAAGAGAGGAGCUUGCUCUUCUUGGAUGAGUUGCGAACGGGUGAGUAACGCGUAGGUAACCUGCCUUGUAGCGGGGGAUAACUAUUGGAAACGAUAGCUAAUACCGCAUAACAAUGGAUGACACAUGUCAUUUAUUUGAAAGGGGCAAUUGCUCCACUACAAGAUGGACCUGCGUUGUAUUAGCUAGUAGGUGAGGUAACGGCUCACCUAGGCGACGAUACAUAGCCGACCUGAGAGGGUGAUCGGCCACACUGGGACUGAGACACGGCCCAGACUCCUACGGGAGGCAGCAGUAGGGAAUCUUCGGCAAUGGGGGCAACCCUGACCGAGCAACGCCGCGUGAGUGAAGAAGGUUUUCGGAUCGUAAAGCUCUGUUGUAAGUCAAGAACGAGUGUGAGAGUGGAAAGUUCACACUGUGACGGUAGCUUACCAGAAAGGGACGGCUAACUACGUGCCAGCAGCCGCGGUAAUACGUAGGUCCCGAGCGUUGUCCGGAUUUAUUGGGCGUAAAGCGAGCGCAGGCGGUUUGAUAAGUCUGAAGUUAAAGGCUGUGGCUCAACCAUAGUUCGCUUUGGAAACUGUCAAACUUGAGUGCAGAAGGGGAGAGUGGAAUUCCAUGUGUAGCGGUGAAAUGCGUAGAUAUAUGGAGGAACACCGGUGGCGAAAGCGGCUCUCUGGUCUGUAACUGACGCUGAGGCUCGAAAGCGUGGGGAGCGAACAGGAUUAGAUACCCUGGUAGUCCACGCCGUAAACGAUGAGUGCUAGGUGUUGGAUCCUUUCCGGGAUUCAGUGCCGCAGCUAACGCAUUAAGCACUCCGCCUGGGGAGUACGACCGCAAGGUUGAAACUCAAAGGAAUUGACGGGGGCCCGCACAAGCGGUGGAGCAUGUGGUUUAAUUCGAAGCAACGCGAAGAACCUUACCAGGUCUUGACAUCCCGAUGCUAUUUCUAGAGAUAGAAAGUUACUUCGGUACAUCGGUGACAGGUGGUGCAUGGUUGUCGUCAGCUCGUGUCGUGAGAUGUUGGGUUAAGUCCCGCAACGAGCGCAACCCCUAUUGUUAGUUGCCAUCAUUCAGUUGGGCACUCUAGCGAGACUGCCGGUAAUAAACCGGAGGAAGGUGGGGAUGACGUCAAAUCAUCAUGCCCCUUAUGACCUGGGCUACACACGUGCUACAAUGGUUGGUACAACGAGUUGCGAGUCGGUGACGGCAAGCUAAUCUCUUAAAGCCAAUCUCAGUUCGGAUUGUAGGCUGCAACUCGCCUACAUGAAGUCGGAAUCGCUAGUAAUCGCGGAUCAGCACGCCGCGGUGAAUACGUUCCCGGGCCUUGUACACACCGCCCGUCACACCACGAGAGUUUGUAACACCCGAAGUCGGUGAGGUAACCUUUUGGAGCCAGCCGCCUAAGGUGAUAGAUGGG
This 1454-nucleotide ribosomal RNA is filed under the name Streptococcus salivarius. RNAcentral's name for it is "bacterial SSU rRNA". It matches the Rfam family "Bacterial small subunit ribosomal RNA". Lineage: Bacteria; Bacillati; Bacillota; Bacilli; Lactobacillales; Streptococcaceae. The record is from RNAcentral.